This 76-nucleotide transfer RNA is filed under the name Deltaproteobacteria bacterium. Its description in RNAcentral is "tRNA-His". It matches the Rfam family "tRNA". Rfam says of the family: Transfer RNA (tRNA) molecules are approximately 80 nucleotides in length. Their secondary structure includes four short double-helical elements and three loops (D, anti-codon, and T loops). Lineage: Bacteria; Pseudomonadati; Myxococcota; Myxococcia. The record is from RNAcentral.
GCGGAUGUAGCUCAAUUGGUAGAGCACCAGAUUGUGGCUCUGGGUGUCGGGGGUUCAAUUCCCCUCAUUCGCCCCA